GGUAGACGGAAAUUCAAGUGUAGAGGUGAAAUUGGUAGAUAUUUGUAGGAAACCCGAGUAGGUAGGCAAGUAUAAAAAUAAAAGGAAUAGACGAGGGACCCGCACCAGCGGUAGAGCAUGUGGUUUAUUUAUACGCAACAAGAGGAACAUCAUCACCGUUUGACAUCCCAAUAAGUUAACAUAGAUGUUUUCAUGCUUCUUUUGAGGAACUUGGUGACAGGUGGUGCAUGGGUGUUGUUAGCUUGUGUUGUGAGAUGUUGGGUUAAGUUCCGCAACGAGCGCAACCCCUUUCGUAUGUUACCAUCAUUAAAUUGGGGCAUUAUAGGAGAAUGCCUGGGAUUAACAGGAAGAAAGGUGGGAAGAAGUUAAGUUAUUCUUCCCCCUUUUGUUUAGGGUUACACACGUGCUACAAUGGUAGGUACAGAGAGCUGCACACCUCGCGAGGGUAAGCUAAUCUCAUAAAACCAUUCUUCAUUUCGGAUUGUAGUGCUGUAAACUCGACGUACCAUGAAAGUAGAGAUCUGCUAGUAAUCGCCAAUCAGCAU
RNAcentral lists this ribosomal RNA (545 nucleotides) under Fusobacterium sp. C34. RNAcentral's name for it is "bacterial SSU rRNA". The stretch from base 56 to 545 matches the Rfam family "Bacterial small subunit ribosomal RNA", at positions 875 to 1355 of the family's 1533-position model. The record is from RNAcentral. Lineage: Bacteria; Fusobacteriati; Fusobacteriota; Fusobacteriia; Fusobacteriales; Fusobacteriaceae.